CUGCGUGCCUAAUGUCCCAAUACGUUUCAACUAUUCUUGUUAAGUCAGGCUCACUUUGUUUUUUAAGGUUCUCUGCUGGCUUCCCAGUUCUGAGGUCCAGGCGUUCAUUUCUAUGCUAAUAUUCUUUUUACCACUUAUAAAAGGGGUGUGUCUCAAUCCUGCUACAUCAUUAUGAAAACAUGGCUCACAAGUGGAGUCAUGUGGGCGGGAGCCAGACACUGUGUCUUUGUUUGGUCAUUUAGUGAUGUAACCCUUGAAAAAUCCUCUCUCAGAUCAUUCUGUUGGGAACAGUUUCCAAGCCGUUAAAAUGUUAUUCUUCCGAGCCUUCCUGCGUUGAUAGCCGGGGAAGGGGGACAAAAUGCAAUGUCACCGUGCAAUCCAUCUGGAAGGUCGAGGCCAGGGGCGGAGAUGGACCGAGCGGAACCCUGAGCGUCAGGGAGCAGAAAGCAGGUGUGGGAGCGCGGGAGCUCCCACCGCCCAGACACGGCAUCUCCUCCUCCUUCUUUAGAGAGAGUCUUGUCACGCGAGGCAGCACAUGCUCCUCCAGUUAGACUGUGGGGUGCACGCCUGUCAUUCCAGCCCUUCGUCUGCGCUCCUGGUGGUUCUGGAGAUCGCUUCCUGUGAAUCCCUGAGCUGGCGUCGGACCCCACUCUUUUUCUGUCUUACGCUGGGUGCUGAGAAGUCACCUGCCCAGGGAACCCCUCACAGCAAAUCACAAGUGUUAGCAUCAAUCAGACUCACUGACGACCCAACAAAGAAUGUCUGGCUGGAAGUGGGGAAGGAAUGAUGGAGAGUUUUCUAUCAGGUGGAACCUCAUGAAAUUGCUGUUGUUCUGGGUAAAAACAAACAAGCAAAAAACCCAAAAACAGUUGAUCAUCAGCGAUUUCACAGGGCACAGGUGAGUCUAGAGGCGGUCCAUGAGGAGGUCGGGGUGCUGGGGGCUGGGUGGAGGGGAUGGGGAAGGAAGAAGGAUACUGUCCCCCUCACUCCCUUCCCUGCUGCUGGAGCAGAGGCCACCUUCCCUGAGACAGUGGGCGUGAAUGCAGGGACACCCGUGGCAGAGUCGCGGGCAGGUGGAAAGCUCUAAGCAGUGGUGCAGGUGUGGGGUGCAGGGAUGGAGGGAGACCGCCCAGGUCCUUGGAGGAACUGAGCAGGCAGC
Molecule: long non-coding RNA, 1159 nt
Filed under: Felis catus (domestic cat)
Lineage: Eukaryota; Metazoa; Chordata; Mammalia; Carnivora; Felidae
Description: lncRNA (ENSFCAG00000050648.1)
Source: RNAcentral